GACGAACGCUGGCGGCGUGCCUAAUACAUGCAAGUCGAACGCUUCUUUCCUCCCGAGUGCUUGCACUCAAUUGGAAAGAGGAGUGGCGGACGGGUGAGUAACACGUGUGUAACCUACCCAUCAGAGGGGGAUAACACUUGGAAACAGGUGCUAAUACCGCAUAACAGUUUAUGCCGCAUGGCAUAAGAGUGAAAGGCGCUUUCGGGUGUCGCUGAUGGAUGGACCCGCGGUGCAUUAGCUAGUUGGUGAGGUAACGGCUCACCAAGGCCACGAUGCAUAGCCGACCUGAGAGGGUGAUCGGCCACACUGGGACUGAGACACGGCCCAGACUCCUACGGGAGGCAGCAGUAGGGAAUCUUCGGCAAUGGACGAAAGUCUGACCGAGCAACGCCGCGUGAGUGAAGAAGGUUUUCGGAUCGUAAAACUCUGUUGUUAGAGAAGAACAAGGACGUUAGUAACUGAACGUCCCCUGACGGUAUCUAACCAGAAAGCCACGGCUAACUACGUG
This 508-nucleotide ribosomal RNA is filed under the name uncultured bacterium. RNAcentral's name for it is "partial 16S ribosomal RNA". It matches the Rfam family "Bacterial small subunit ribosomal RNA", at positions 28 to 507 of the family's 1533-position model. The record is from RNAcentral.